Non-coding RNA from Bos taurus (domestic cattle), 57 nucleotides. Lineage: Eukaryota; Metazoa; Chordata; Mammalia; Artiodactyla; Bovidae. The record is from Rfam.
UGGCUCAGAUGGUAAAGCGUCUGCCUGCAAUGCAGGAGACCUGGGUUUGAUUCCUGG